GGGGUUGUGGCUCAGUGGUAGAGCGUUUGCCUAGCAUGCAUGAGGCACCGGGUUUGAUCCUCAGCACCA
This 69-nucleotide transfer RNA is filed under the name Ictidomys tridecemlineatus (thirteen-lined ground squirrel). RNAcentral describes it as "Spermophilus tridecemlineatus (thirteen-lined ground squirrel) tRNA". It matches the Rfam family "tRNA". Rfam says of the family: Transfer RNA (tRNA) molecules are approximately 80 nucleotides in length. Their secondary structure includes four short double-helical elements and three loops (D, anti-codon, and T loops). Further hydrogen bonds mediate the characteristic L-shaped molecular structure. tRNAs have two regions of fundamental functional importance: the anti-codon, which is responsible for specific mRNA codon recognition, and the 3' end, to which the tRNAs corresponding amino acid is attached (by aminoacyl-tRNA synthetases). tRNAs cope with the degeneracy of the genetic code in two manners: having more than one tRNA (with a specific anti-codon) for a particular amino acid; and 'wobble' base-pairing, i.e. permitting non-standard base-pairing at the 3rd anti-codon position. The record is from Rfam by way of RNAcentral. Lineage: Eukaryota; Metazoa; Chordata; Mammalia; Rodentia; Sciuridae.